RNAcentral lists this long non-coding RNA (1450 nucleotides) under Triticum aestivum (bread wheat). RNAcentral describes it as "long non-coding RNA (TAES_LNC006249)". Lineage: Eukaryota; Viridiplantae; Streptophyta; Magnoliopsida; Poales; Poaceae. The record is from RNAcentral.
UCUGUCUCCAGUAAUUUCAUAUACUUGCUCAAUUUUUUGGUUCUUGCCUUCUCAAGUGUAGCAGCAGCGUAAUCUUUCAUUGCAGAUGCCUUCUCCUUUCUUGCUUCUGCAGCCAUCUCUAUUGCAGCUGAUUUUCUUGCUAUGGCAUCAUGAUAUAGUUGCAUACUUGGAUCUGGCAGGUUGCUUGAAGAAGAGUCGGCCUUUGCUGGUGCCUUUCCUUUGCGUUUUGCGCCCUUCUGUCCCGGAGGACGACGUUCCAAUGGUCUGUCCACUGAUUCUUCAACAUCUUUACUAGAAGAAGAAAUGUAAGCCCCUGUUUCUGAGGUCUUGCCUCUCUUUCUCGCUUCAUCCUUCUCUAGUAAGUAAGUAUUUUUCCACUUUGGCAUUUCUUUCACCAUAUCCCACCAAUAUUCUAGCGUGAAUCUUUUUUUGUAUUUCUCCUUGUAAUCUGCUCUUACCAUAUCCAUAAACAUAUUGUCAUCAUACCCACUAGAUACACACUGCGUUGCACGGAAUGACACCCAGCAAACUGAGUCACAAAUUUGUUUUGCUUACUCCAAUGGUCUUUCAACAUCUUGGCAGAUCUUUGCCUCUCUUUCGGAGUGACGCUGUUGUAGUCUUUCUCAACUGCUUUCCAAUACUGGUCUGAUUUCUUGGAGUUACCAUCUACAGGAUCGAGAGAAUUUUCCAACCAAGCAUUGACAAGCCGCUUAUUUUCUUCCUCUGUCCAGUUUCUCCUCUUAGCAAUAGGUUCUUCUGCUUCACCGGGACUACUUCCACUUGACUCUUGCUGAUCUACUUCUUCUGCCCUAUGUAUUGAUGCAGGAGGCUGAGGCGAAUAAUGAAAAUAUCCGGCAUCUUGGUUGAUCCUAGCAUGUGGAUCAAUCCCGAUGAAGCCGGCGGCUGCAGAAGAUGAAUGACCAUAUGAACCUCCUCCAUACACUCCAUGUGCUGCUUGGAAACCUGAGGUGUGUGGAGGUGGAAAUGGAUACAUGUUCUGUACAUACAUGGGAUGAAAAUAUUGCCCAUGCUGAGAGGAUGAAGCACUUGUGAACUGGUGAGGUGGGGUGGCAGAUGGGGUAUAGUUUCGAUUUUCUGGAUCUUGGCUUGAGCAACUAUUGAGCAUCCUAGUGAAAUUUCCUGGAGAGUGCUCCAUGAAUGUGAAGUUUUUUGAGGUGUCUAGGCUCCCAGUUGGUUUGGGUGUGUGCAAACUUAUUGUUCAAAGCCCUAGUAUAUAUACUGAUAGAUGUGUGUAUGCACACACUUGUUGUAACGGCCAUAAUUUGUUGUUUAUUAUUAUUUUUAAAUGCAACGGUUGUAUUGGAUUGGAUGUGUAUGCUCAGAACAAACUGAGCUUUGCCAGUUUGCACUGUAUAACGGUUGCCCUUGGCUUGCUAGGCAACGGCUGGUGUGUUUAGCUUUCAACUGCCAUCUUUAAAUAAUAUUAUUU